RNAcentral lists this long non-coding RNA (219 nucleotides) under Pan troglodytes (chimpanzee). RNAcentral's name for it is "long non-coding RNA NONPTRT004818". Lineage: Eukaryota; Metazoa; Chordata; Mammalia; Primates; Hominidae. The record is from RNAcentral.
GGUGAUCAUGCUGUCUCCCCAGGGGGCUGCUUCAAACCCAAGAUACCUCCCAUUUCCAGAACUGGUUGUGAUGAGAGACUUCUUUUUUAAAUUCCCAGGAGAAACCUGGAUCCUUAUCAAUACCUCCUUCUCUUCUCCUGGCUGGCAUUGCCAGAGGUGAGGGAUGUUUUAAUAGCUAGGAUCAGAAGGUCUUGCCAUCCCUUCUAAAAUCCCACUGUA